RNAcentral lists this ribosomal RNA (612 nucleotides) under Salmonella enterica subsp. enterica serovar Senftenberg. RNAcentral describes it as "partial 23S ribosomal RNA". It matches the Rfam family "Bacterial large subunit ribosomal RNA", at positions 577 to 1190 of the family's 2925-position model. Lineage: Bacteria; Pseudomonadati; Pseudomonadota; Gammaproteobacteria; Enterobacterales; Enterobacteriaceae. The record is from RNAcentral.
GAGCACCCUUUGGGGUGUGACUGCGUACCUUUUGUAUAAUGGGUCAGCGACUUAUAUUCUGUAGCAAGGUUAACCGUAUAGGGGAGCCGGAGGGAAACCGAGUCUUAACCGGGCGUUAAGUUGCAGGGUAUAGACCCGAAACCCGGUGAUCUAGCCAUGGGCAGGUUGAAGGUUGGGUAACACUAACUGGAGGACCGAACCGACUAAUGUUGAAAAAUUAGCGGAUGACCUGUGGCUGGGGGUGAAAGGCCAAUCAAACCGGGAGAUAGCUGGUUCUCCCCGAAAGCUAUUUAGGUAGCGCCUCGUGAAUUCAUCUCCGGGGGUAGAGCACUGUUUCGGCUAGGGGGCCAUCCCGGCUUACCAACCCGAUGCAAACUGCGAAUACCGGAGAAUGUUAUCACGGGAGACACACGGCGGGUGCUAACGUCCGUCGUGAAGAGGGAAACAACCCAGACCGCCAGCUAAGGUCCCAAAGUCAUGGUUAAGUGGGAAACGAUGUGGGAAGGCCCAGACAGCCAGGAUGUUGGCUUAGAAGCAGCCAUCAUUUAAAGAAAGCGUAAUAGCUCACUGGUCGAGUCGGCCUGCGCGGAAGAUGUAACGGGGCUAAACCAU